UCUGUGAAUCUGUCACCGGAUGCUUACAUACAUGUUUUGGAUGAUAAUGAAACGGACUGUGUCUUUAUACCAGUUAACGUUAGACCGCAGUUGUUUAAAAGCAGUGUAUUGCUGCCCUCUGUGGUUGAAAGCUCCAAGCCUGUUGCACCUGGAUCCACAGGGUCCUGGAGGACAUCACUGCAGCAAGAUGAGACAUUAAACCACUGGAGAGAGAGACUUCAGUCAUGUUUGGAGACGCUGCCUGCCAGCCUAGAGAGAGUCCUGACUUAUAAAUAUGCCCUAGUUAGCCUGAGACCCCUGCUCCGUCCAGCCCGCUCGCUUUGUCCCCAAGUCCUGUUAUCUGUGCUCUGAAUAAAACUGAAUUACUGUUCAUCUA
Long non-coding RNA from Micropterus salmoides (largemouth bass), 376 nucleotides. RefSeq lists it as uncharacterized. NCBI's taxonomy places the organism in Eukaryota, Metazoa, Chordata, Actinopteri, Centrarchiformes, Centrarchidae. The transcript is spliced from 3 exons. The record is from RefSeq and is a predicted model, not a curated record.